CCCGAACCUUCCCUAUUCAACCCGACCCGACGAAUUCCCCAUCCUCCUUAAACCUUCGCUCGACGCCUUCAAGAUCGCGCUUGACGCUGCCAACGUGGAUCCUCGUCGUACGGUAAGACGACGAAGUCAGCAACCUCAACCAAAAUCGUGAUUGAUUUCAAUAACUGAACUUGAUCCAAGUUAAAUUAGACCCAAAUGUCUCGGAUAAAAUUUUGGAUUCUAAUUUUAUAAUAAAAUAAUGGUGAUUAAGGGAAAACUCUAUUAAAAUUAGUCAACCAAAUUUUCCUACAAAAAUUAUCAUAAAAUUAAUCGUGCACAAAAUCAAUCCUAUGAGUAUGGUUAUAAAAAAUAGUCAACAAACGAAACGGGUCGUCACUUCCUUGUUUCGGCGAUGUUGUUUUUUGACAGUGAAACCCAAAUUAGAUUAUUAUUUAAGGAAAUGUUAGAAAGGAUCGUUUUUAAUUUUUUAUAAGAAAUCAUUGUGAUGGAUAAUGAUUUUCUAGAUUUUAUGCUAUAUAUUGCAGUUGUUUCUGGAUGACAGCGUUCGCAAUAUUGCCGCGGGAAAAGAAAUGGGUCUCCACACUGUUCUGGUAAUUUCCUAAACGACGUCGUAUAAUCAUAAAAACUAGUAUUAUUAAGGUGAUUUUAAUGUAAAAUAUUGAAUGUUAUAGGUUGGGAAGACAAUGAAAAGCAAAGGAGCUGACUAUGCUGUGGAGAGUGUGCAUAACUUGGCACAAGUGAUCCCAGAGAUAUGGGCAAACGAAAUGGACGGUGGUGAUCCAACGAUGACACGUUCGAAGAGUGAAUUGGAGGCCGUACUCGCUUGUGCUCUGGUUGGAGCUUGAAAAUUGACGUUGUACAAAAAUGUACAUUCCCAACCAACCCAACUAUCUAUGCAAUUAAAAAUAAUAGUACAGUAGUAUAAAUAGUAUCAGACCACCAAUAGCG
RNAcentral lists this long non-coding RNA (948 nucleotides) under Glycine max (soybean). RNAcentral describes it as "long non-coding RNA (GMAX_LNC002350)". Lineage: Eukaryota; Viridiplantae; Streptophyta; Magnoliopsida; Fabales; Fabaceae. The record is from RNAcentral.